Molecule: ribosomal RNA, 336 nt
Filed under: uncultured bacterium
Lineage: Bacteria
Description: bacterial SSU rRNA
Rfam family: Bacterial small subunit ribosomal RNA
Source: RNAcentral
AGUGAACGCUGGCGGCGUGCUUAACACAUGCAAGUCGAACGCGAAAGGGGAGCAGUCCCUGAGUAGAGUGGCGAACGGGUGAGUAAUGUGUGGGUAAUUUGCCUUUGAGCGGGGGAUAACCCGGCGAAAGCUGAGCUAAUACCCCAUAACAUUGCAAUUUCUUCGGAGAAUGCAAUCAAACGAUGGCCUCUAUUUAUAAGCUAUUGCUUGAAGAUGAGCCCACAUCCUAUCACGCUUGUUGGUGGGGUAAUGGCCCACCAAGGCGACGACGGGUAGCCGGCCUGAGAGGGUGUCCGGCCACACUGGAACUGAGACACGGUCCAGACUCCUACGGGA